Molecule: ribosomal RNA, 519 nt
Filed under: uncultured bacterium
Lineage: Bacteria
Description: bacterial SSU rRNA
Rfam family: Bacterial small subunit ribosomal RNA
Source: RNAcentral
UAGCUAUUUAGGUUAGAGUUUGAUCAUGGCUCAGGACGAACGCUGGCGGCGCGCUUAACACAUGCAAGUCGAGCGAGAACCUGGCCUUCGGGCCUGGGGAAAGCGGCGAACGGGUGAGUAACACGUGGGUAACCCACCCUUGGUACUGGGAUAGCCCGGGGAAACCCGGAUUAAUACCGGAUGGCCCAACAGCUCUUCGGGGCGGUUGGAAAAGGUAGCUUCGGCCUCCGACCAAGGACGGGCCCGCGGCGGAUUAGCUUGUUGGUGGGGUAACGGCCUACCAAGGCGACGAUCCGUAGCUGGUCUGAGAGGACGAUCAGCCACACUGGGACUGAGACACGGCCCAGACUCCUACGGGAGGCAGCAGUGGGGAAUAUUGGACAAUGGGCGCAAGCCUGAUCCAGCCAUGCCGCGUGAGUGAUGAAGGCCCUAGGGUUGUAAAGCUCUUUUGUGCGGGAAGAUAAUGACGGUACCGCAAGAAUAAGCCCCGGCUAACUACGUGCCAGCAGCCGCGGUAAU